GUGCAGCAGGCGCGAAACUUUACAAUGUGCGAAAGCACGACAAGGGAACUCUGAGUGCCUCCUAAGGAGGCUGUUCAGGUGUCUAAAAGCACCUGAAGGAAGGGCUGGGUAAGACCGGUGCCAGCCGCCGCGGUAACACCGGCAGCCCAAGUGGUAGCCACGUUUAUUGGGUCUAAAGCGUCCGUAGCCGGCUGGGUAAGUUCCUUGGGAAAUUUGGCUGCUUAACAGUCAAGCUUUCAGGGAAUACUGCCCGGCUUGGGACCGGGAGAGGUCAGAGGUACUCCAGGGGUAGGGGUGAAAUCCAUUAAUCCUUGGGGGACCACCGGUAGCGAAGGCGUCUGACCAGACCGGGUCCGACGGUGAGGGACGAAGGCUAGGGGGCGCGAACCGGAUUAGAUACCCC
This 403-nucleotide ribosomal RNA is filed under the name uncultured microorganism. Its description in RNAcentral is "bacterial SSU rRNA". It matches the Rfam family "Archaeal small subunit ribosomal RNA", at positions 330 to 739 of the family's 1478-position model. The record is from RNAcentral.